RNAcentral lists this ribosomal RNA (429 nucleotides) under Pseudomonadota bacterium. Its description in RNAcentral is "Proteobacteria bacterium partial 16S ribosomal RNA". It matches the Rfam family "Bacterial small subunit ribosomal RNA", at positions 355 to 776 of the family's 1533-position model. The record is from RNAcentral. Lineage: Bacteria; Pseudomonadati; Pseudomonadota.
UGGGGAAUAUUGGACAAUGGGCGAAAGCCUGAUCCAGCCAUGCCGCGUGUGUGAAGAAGGUCUUCGGAUUGUAAAGCACUUUAAGUUGGGAGGAAGGGCAGUAAGCGAAUACCUUGCUGUUUUGACGUUACCGACAGAAUAAGCACCGGCUAACUCUGUGCCAGCAGCCGCGGUAAUACAGAGGGUGCAAGCGUUAAUCGGAAUUACUGGGCGUAAAGCGCGCGUAGGUGGUUCGUUAAGUUGAAUGUGAAAGCCCCGGGCUCAACCUGGGAACUGCAUCCAAAACUGGCGAGCUAGAGUAGGGCAGAGGGUGGUGGAAUUUCCUGUGUAGCGGUGAAAUGCGUAGAUAUAAGAAGGAACACCAGUGGCGAAGGCGACCACCUGGGCUCAUACUGACACUGAGGUGCGAAAGCGUGGGGAGCAAACAGG